This 522-nucleotide ribosomal RNA is filed under the name Aspergillus niger. Its description in RNAcentral is "eukaryotic LSU rRNA". The stretch from base 136 to 289 matches the Rfam family "5.8S ribosomal RNA". Lineage: Eukaryota; Fungi; Ascomycota; Eurotiomycetes; Eurotiales; Aspergillaceae. The record is from RNAcentral.
GUUGCUUCGGCGGGCCCGCCGCUUGUCGGCCGCCGGGGGGGCGCCUCUGCCCCCCGGGCCCGUGCCCGCCGGAGACCCCAACACGAACACUGUCUGAAAGCGUGCAGUCUGAGUUGAUUGAAUGCAAUCAGUUAAAACUUUCAACAAUGGAUCUCUUGGUUCCGGCAUCGAUGAAGAACGCAGCGAAAUGCGAUAACUAAUGUGAAUUGCAGAAUUCAGUGAAUCAUCGAGUCUUUGAACGCACAUUGCGCCCCCUGGUAUUCCGGGGGGCAUGCCUGUCCGAGCGUCAUUGCUGCCCUCAAGCCCGGCUUGUGUGUUGGGUCGCCGUCCCCCUCUCCGGGGGGACGGGCCCGAAAGGCAGCGGCGGCACCGCGUCCGAUCCUCGAGCGUAUGGGGCUUUGUCACAUGCUCUGUAGGAUUGGCCGGCGCCUGCCGACGUUUUCCAACCAUUCUUUCCAGGUUGACCUCGGAUCAGGUAGGGAUACCCGCUGAACUUAAGCAUAUCAAUAAGCCGGGGAGAGA